GACGAACGCUGGCGGCGUGCUUAACACAUGCAAGUCGAACGGAAAGGCCCUGCUUUUGUGGGGUGCUCGAGUGGCGAACGGGUGAGUAACACGUGAGUAACCUGCCCUUGACUUUGGGAUAACUUCAGGAAACUGGGGCUAAUACCGGAUAGGAGCUCCUGCUGCAUGGUGGGGGUUGGAAAGUUUCGGCGGUUGGGGAUGGACUCGCGGCUUAUCAGCUUGUUGGUGGGGUAGUGGCUUACCAAGGCUUUGACGGGUAGCCGGCCUGAGAGGGUGACCGGCCCCAUUGGGACUGGGAUACGGCCCAGCCUCCUACGGGAGGCAGCAGUGGGGAAUAUUGCACAAUGGGCGGAAGCCUGAUGCAGCAACGCCGCGUGCGGGAUGACGGCCUUCGGGUUGUAAACCGCUUUCGCCUGUGACGAAGCGUGAGUGACGGUAAUGGGUAAAGAAGCACCGGCUAACUACGUG
RNAcentral lists this ribosomal RNA (468 nucleotides) under uncultured bacterium. RNAcentral's name for it is "partial 16S ribosomal RNA". It matches the Rfam family "Bacterial small subunit ribosomal RNA", at positions 28 to 507 of the family's 1533-position model. The record is from RNAcentral.